Diuraphis noxia (Russian wheat aphid) is the source of this 463-nucleotide long non-coding RNA. The record is from RefSeq and is a predicted model, not a curated record. NCBI's taxonomy places the organism in Eukaryota, Metazoa, Arthropoda, Insecta, Hemiptera, Aphididae.
AUAAUUAAUAUAAUCCACCUUGAUAUUAAGUAUAUUUAAUCAAUGGUAUUAUCAAUGAUCACAGUACUAUCACAGAAUAUUUAUUUYGUGGUGUCAUAUUAUCUUGUAUCAUAACAUUCAUAACAUUCAAAUAUUUCAAUAUUUAUUAAUUUAAGAUAUAAAAAAACAAAAAGGAACUACAAAAUGAUGAUCAAAUUGUAAGUCACAAAUAUUUACAAGACAACACACGGUGUCAGGGGAGGCAGUAUAUGCUGAUCUACGGUUUUUGGAAUAUAACAAAAGACAUGCAUGAUUGGAUGCCGGUUGUUGGAAAUACAGAUCUGAAAGAUGUUCAUUACAUAUAUUUGUUCUAUGUAUUAUUUAUUAAUGUUAUAUUUUUAAUACUUAUAAUUUUCCAGUAAAUAUAUACAUGAAUAUUAUGCGCUUAAUAUACAUUGGUAUGAAUACCAAAUUAUGAGUUUUA